This 467-nucleotide ribosomal RNA is filed under the name uncultured bacterium. Its description in RNAcentral is "partial 16S ribosomal RNA". It matches the Rfam family "Bacterial small subunit ribosomal RNA", at positions 28 to 507 of the family's 1533-position model. The record is from RNAcentral.
GACGAACGCUGGCGGCGUGCUUAACACAUGCAAGUCGAACGGAAAGGCCCUGCUUUUGUGGGGUGCUCGAGUGGCGAACGGGUGAGUAACACGUGAGUAACCUGCCCUUGACUUUGGGAUAACUUCAGGAAACUGGGGCUAAUACCGGAUAGGAGCUCCUGCUGCAUGGUGGGGGUUGGAAAGUUUCGGCGGUUGGGGAUGGACUCGCGGCCUAUCAGCUUGUUGGUGGGGUAGUGGCUACCAAGGCUUUGACGGGUAGCCGGCCUGAGAGGGUGACCGGCCACAUUGGGACUGAGAUACGGCCCAGACUCCUACGGGAGGCAGCAGUGGGGAAUAUUGCACAAUGGGCGGAAGCCUGAUGCAGCAACGCCGCGUGCGGGAUGACGGCCUUCGGGUUGUAAACCGCUUUCGCCUGUGACGAAGCGUGAGUGACGGUAAUGGGUAAAGAAGCACCGGCUAACUACGUG